RNAcentral lists this unclassified non-coding RNA (175 nucleotides) under fungal sp. RNAcentral's name for it is "partial internal transcribed spacer region". The stretch from base 1 to 46 matches the Rfam family "Eukaryotic small subunit ribosomal RNA", at positions 1786 to 1831 of the family's 1831-position model. Lineage: Eukaryota; Fungi. The record is from RNAcentral.
AAGUCGUAACAAGGUUUCCGUAGGUGAACCUGCGGAAGGAUCAUUAAUAAUGAGUUUACACUCAUUACUUGUGCACUGUAAUUGUCUCUGCCGAAAGGCGCUGUUUAACAGAUUAUAUAGUGAUUUAUAUAGCAUUAGUAAAAUACAACUUUUGGCAACGGAUCUCUAGGCUCUU